CAAAGGAAAGGGGAUUGUGGAUGGGCCCUGUGCUUGCUCUGCCUUCCCUUCCCAAGCCUCACUGUAGGUAAUGUGAUUCUGAACAGUGAGAAAGCAGCACUGACAGCCCCGGAGGAAAGGAGGAGGGCUGCUUAUUGGAGGGCAAUCCACUGACAGCAGCUGUAGCCCCCUGAGCCCCCUGUUGAUUUGUUCUGCCAGCGCUGAAUCAAUCCGACUGCGAUUUCAUUCUGUUGGUGGUGUUCUGAGUGCUUUCCUCAAAGCCCCCAACCCCACUGAGCUGCUGGGGAGUGCAGCUAUGGCAAUGGGUCCUCUUCAGCCCCCGAGGAUAAGUCCUGAUAGGAAGACCAGGACACAGCGAUGUCACACUCUGAGGCAGUUAUGAAUGUCAUUCCCCAAUCCACUCAGGAGCCUGCAAUUUUCUGGCCGAGGUGGGAAGCUGCCGACACCGUGUGAUACAUGGAGAGAUUGAUUGUAUUUACU
Molecule: non-coding RNA, 480 nt
Organism: Meleagris gallopavo (turkey)
Lineage: Eukaryota; Metazoa; Chordata; Aves; Galliformes; Phasianidae
Source: RefSeq, a predicted model, not a curated record